CCCCUAGAUGUUCUGGGCCGCACGCGCGCUACACUGAACAGUUCAACAAGUCUUAACCUUGGCCGAUAGGUCUGGGUAAUCUUUGAACGCUGUUCGUGAUUGGGAUAGACCUUUGCAAUUAUGGGUCUUCAACGAGGAAUUCCUAGUAACCGCAAGUCAUCAGCUUGCAUUGAUUACGUCCCUGCCCUUUGUACACACCGCCCGUCGCACCUACCGAUUGAAUGGUCCGGUGAAAUCUCGGGACGGCGGCUUGGUCGCUUGCGUCCGACUGCUGAAACUUGAUUAAACCAUAUCAUUUAGAGGAAGGUGAAGUCGUAACA
RNAcentral lists this ribosomal RNA (320 nucleotides) under uncultured eukaryote. Its description in RNAcentral is "partial 18S ribosomal RNA". It matches the Rfam family "Eukaryotic small subunit ribosomal RNA", at positions 1470 to 1796 of the family's 1831-position model. The record is from RNAcentral.